Molecule: long non-coding RNA, 2475 nt
Filed under: Olea europaea (common olive)
Lineage: Eukaryota; Viridiplantae; Streptophyta; Magnoliopsida; Lamiales; Oleaceae
Description: long non-coding RNA (OEUR_LNC009900)
Source: RNAcentral
AAUCGAUCAGCAGAAAAAAAAGAAGCUAAUGCGGUCAUGGAUGUUAUCCACAAACAGCAGCAGCAGUCAGGCCUGUUUUCUCCUUUCAUUAUUUCAUCUUUUUUUAAAUUUUUGCCCAAUUUUAUCAAUUAUUUAUUCAUUCUCUAGAAUGUAUGUUAUUUGUGGUGAAUUAAACUAUUUUUCCCUUAAAUACAGUUUGAAUCUAGGCUUACUACAUCGAUUUUGUAGAAUUAAAAUAAUUUUAUGAUGCAAAUUUUGAAAUUUUAGGUUUUUAAAACGUUUUCAGUUUAAGCUUGAAUAACAUUUUUUAGACCUCUUUGUCAUAUUUAGAUUCAACUAAUGUUAUUAGACCAAAAUUGGCAUGAUUUAUUGUUGUUGAUAAGAAUUUGUUGCUUUCGAUCUUCAUCUAUAAGAAAAACGUGACAUGUGAAAAAAGCAUUCUAGGGAAACUAGUGAUUAGGAAUUAACAAUAUAUAAAUAUUUACUACCAUGGUUAAAUAUAUUCAUCUAAUCGGAUUUAAUUAGUGAAUUUUUUGUAAAAUCCAUCAUUAUGUGAAGAUAAGUAGUUGGAUUAGUGAGAGAACUCCUUUGGUGCUUGUACAAACUGGUGCCCUUUAUGCAGAUGACAGGACAUGCCAUGCUGAAUAAGUUAAAUACCAUUCUUACUACACAAAUAGGGUCUAUGACUGGAUUUAAAAAAAGCGGAUACGUGUCAAAUAUUCAUUAAACACGCAGUACCUGUUACCUUAUCCUGUCAAAUGCCCCUGUUUGAGUAACUUUAUUCGGUUAAUGCAGCAGCAUUGGUAGUUGAUUUUAUCACGUCAACAGAAAGUUUAUCUUGGCAGCAGCAGCCUUGUUGCAUGUUCUAUAUAUAUAUAUAUAUUCCAAAUUAAGCCACAUAAAUCUUGAUCAGGGAUAAUAUCAAUGUACUUGUUACAUUAAGGGAACAUUCGUAGUGAUUGAAGAAGUGUCGAGACUCAAGAGAUCAAAGAAGUGAGUUGAUCCCUUUCCUCAAUUUUGAAAGUUAUGAAUAUUAAGUUCGGAAGGCUAUAAGUACUUUAUUACAUGAACCCACGUAGCAAUUGAAACUACGAAAUCCAUGGUAAAUUAGAUCAAACCCAAGAAAGCUAAAAAUCAAUGUUUGAAAGCUUGACCCAAUAAAUUCUUGAACCAAAGAACCAAAACAAUCGCAAACAAUAUAUUGACCCCAUGAUCACAAAACUUAUGAACCUUUUUGAAUUGUUGAACGCUACAAGAAAUUAAUCCUUAAUAAUUUCGAAAAUUAAUUCAACAAAGAACAAGUUGAAAGCAAAAUAUGCUUUAUUAUCUCUCAAUUUUUGUGUUUUACAAUGAAAAGAAUGAGUCCUAUUUAUAAACAACUCAUAAAAACCUAGUUAAAACUGAAUUUAAGUUUAAAUAUACCAAAAGAUAUCUUAAAAUAAAAUUUUAACUAAAAUACGAGAUUACGCGAAAUUUGAAAAAUUAGCAUCCCAGAUUUGUACCGUGGCCGCAUAGUUGUGGAGGAUGCAGUCGCAUAGGCUAGCCUUUAACCUCCAAUGUGCUCUCGGUAUAUAUCUAUGCAAUCACAUGCAUAGAUACACUAUGCAAUCGCAUAGGGUUAGGAUCCAUCAUGUUUCGUCGUCCAUGCCAAACAUGAAAGUUAUCCCUUUGCUUGUUGUGAUCUUUGUUUCAUUCACUAUAGCUUAAACAAGUAAUCCCAUGGCUUCUUUGACCCUUUUUUGCUUAUGACCUAAUAAUUGGUUCUUCCUCCACAAUCAAUGAAUCUUUUUCCUUACUAGCUUUCAUACCACGGAUCUCAUCAUUCCCUUCAUCUUCAAAAGGACUCAUCUUUGAAUUUCUUCUAUCUUUAAAAGGAUUCGUCCUCAAAUCUCCGUAUGCAUCAAACAAGGAAAUAUUAGAAAUAUUGAAAGUAGUAGAAAAAUUAUACUAACCUAAAAGAUCCAAUUUAUAACCUUUGUCGUGGAUCAUUUCAAGCACUUAAAACAAUCCAUCUCCUCUUGGUUGCAAUUUUGACUUCCUUUGAGUCGAAAAGCAUUCAUUUCUCGUAUGUACCCAAAUCCAAUCUCCUUUGGAUUACUCCAAUAAGCUGGCUUAUUGGGAAUGACAGCUUUAGGUACGAAGUCAAUUUGAUAUUCAAUGCCUCAAAUGGGUGGUAACUCACUAUGCAUAUCCUUCGAAAACAAGUCUUCAAAUUCCUGCGACAGAGAAGUAGCCAAACUAGGGAGGGGUGUCUUAGAUUCUUCAAAGUUAAGGAGUGAUUAUUUAUAAACCAAUAAGAUCAUGAGUCGGUUCUCAAUUACUUCUCUCUUCAACUCACUCCAAUUCACGAAGAAACUCACUUUCGACUUUUCAAUCAUUUCGUAAGAUUCUUUUUUUUUUUACUCUCUUGUGGCUCUACUCUUUUUUCUCACAAUUAGCCACCUCACUUUUCUCUCUCUUAGUCUCUUGUUGUGA